Molecule: unclassified non-coding RNA, 343 nt
Filed under: Hypoxylon investiens
Lineage: Eukaryota; Fungi; Ascomycota; Sordariomycetes; Xylariales; Hypoxylaceae
Description: partial internal transcribed spacer region
Rfam family: Eukaryotic small subunit ribosomal RNA (bases 1-46)
Source: RNAcentral
AAGUCGUAACAAGGUCUCCGUUGGUGAACCAGCGGAGGGAUCAUUACUGAGUUAUUAAAACUCCAAACCCUUUGUGAACCUUACUGUCGUUGCCUCGGCGUGAGCUACGGCUACCCUGUAGUUACCCUAUAGCUACCCUGCAGCUACCCUAUAGUUGACCAGUAGCUACCCUGUAGUUACCCUAUAGCUACCCUGCAGCUACCCUAUAGUUGACAUGUAGCUACCCUGUAGCCGGCUUAUGGCCCGCCGAAGGACCGCUAAACUCUUGUUUUUUUUACCACUGUUUCUCUGAAUUGUAAACUUAAAUAAGUUAAAACUUUCAACAACGGAUCUCUUGGUUCUG